Molecule: ribosomal RNA, 281 nt
Filed under: Bifidobacterium bifidum
Lineage: Bacteria; Bacillati; Actinomycetota; Actinomycetes; Bifidobacteriales; Bifidobacteriaceae
Description: partial 16S ribosomal RNA
Rfam family: Bacterial small subunit ribosomal RNA
Source: RNAcentral
UAUGGUAAUGUGCCCGCCGCCGCGGUAAUACGUAGGGCGCAAGCGUUAUCCGGAUUUAUUGGGCGUAAAGGGCUCGUAGGCGGCUCGUCGCGUCCGGUGUGAAAGUCCAUCGCUUAACGGUGGAUCUGCGCCGGGUACGGGCGGGCUGGAGUGCGGUAGGGGAGACUGGAAUUCCCGGUGUAACGGUGGAAUGUGUAGAUAUCGGGAAGAACACCGAUGGCGAAGGCAGGUCUCUGGGCCGUCACUGACGCUGAGGAGCGAAAGCGUGGGGAGCGAACAGG